UAUCCUAGUCCACACAAUUCCAAGCCCCAGUCUGUUUGUGAGAUUAUUUCAAGCACCAUGAUUUAGAUAACAGGAGCACAGUGAAGGUUGUUCACUAGACCUAACUGAUUAAGGGACUAGAUCUCUUCUGCAUCUACUGAGCUUAGUGAAAAGUAAAUCCUUCCCUUCUGGGAUGCAUCUCAUGAUCUGCACUCCACAUAAGGAGGGUAUCCGAUUCACAAAAUGAAAAAGGUACAGAAACGCAAUGCUUUGACGCAAGCUGUUUGUGAAGGAGACAAAACUUCCAUUUGCAAUUCUGCAAGUGCAGCAUAUCAACUAGACAGAAAGUGCCACGUGACUGAUUCCCACACUUCCCUUGUGCUAUACUUCAGAAGAAUCAGGAAAGAACAGUACUGUAUCCCCACACUCCCCUUUCUUUUUGUUUGGUUGCAUCUUCCUUUUGCACAACGGGGUAAAAGAGGGAUGCACAGCAAGCAGGAA
Molecule: long non-coding RNA, 480 nt
Organism: Passer domesticus (house sparrow)
Lineage: Eukaryota; Metazoa; Chordata; Aves; Passeriformes; Passeridae
Exons: 3
Source: RefSeq, a predicted model, not a curated record